This 355-nucleotide ribosomal RNA is filed under the name uncultured bacterium. Its description in RNAcentral is "partial 16S ribosomal RNA". It matches the Rfam family "Bacterial small subunit ribosomal RNA", at positions 338 to 690 of the family's 1533-position model. The record is from RNAcentral.
CCUACGGGAGGCAGCAGUGAGGAAUAUUGGUCAAUGGGCGCGAGCCUGAACCAGCCAAGUAGCGUGAAGGAUGACUGCCCUACGGGUUGUAAACUUCUUUUAUAAAGGAAUAAAGUGAGGCACGUGUUCCUUUUUGUAUGUACUUUAUGAAUAAGGAUCGGCUAACUCCGUGCCAGCAGCCGCGGUAAUACGGCGGAUCCGAACGUUAUCCGGAUUUAUUGGGUUUAAAGGGAGCGGAGAUGGGUUGUUAAGUCAGUUGUGAAAGUUUGCGGCUCAAACGUAAAAUUGCAAUUGAUACUGGCAGUCUUGGGUAGAGUUGAGGUAGGGGGAAAUCGUGGUGUAGCGGUGAAAUGCU